This 433-nucleotide ribosomal RNA is filed under the name uncultured bacterium. Its description in RNAcentral is "partial 16S ribosomal RNA". It matches the Rfam family "Bacterial small subunit ribosomal RNA", at positions 29 to 507 of the family's 1533-position model. The record is from RNAcentral.
AACGAACGCUGGUGGCAUGCCUAACACAUGCAAGUCGAACGAGACCUUCGGGUCUAGUGGCGCACGGGUGCGUAACGCGUGGGAACCUGCCCUUAGGUUCGGAAUAACUCCCCGAAAGGGGUGCUAAUACCGGAUAAUGUCUUCGGACCAAAGAUUUAUCGCCUUUGGAUGGGCCCGCGUUGGAUUAGCUAGUUGGUAGGGUAAAAGCCUACCAAGGCGACGAUCCAUAGCUGGUCUGAGAGGAUGAUCGGCCACACUGGGACUGAGACACGGCCCAGAAUCCUACGGGAGGCAGCAGUGGGGAAUAUUGGACAAUGGGCGGAAGCCUGAUCCAGCAAUGCCGCGUGAGUGAUGAAGGCCUUAGGGUUGUAAAGCUCUUUUAACCGGGAUGAUAAUGACAGUACCGGGAGAAUAAGCUCCGGCUAACUCCGUG